This is a long non-coding RNA of Chinchilla lanigera (long-tailed chinchilla), 474 nucleotides long. RefSeq lists it as uncharacterized. The transcript has 3 exons. The record is from RefSeq and is a predicted model, not a curated record. Lineage: Eukaryota; Metazoa; Chordata; Mammalia; Rodentia; Chinchillidae.
UGUACCCCCCACCUUCCUCUUUGGGAAAAAGAUCUUUCUUUGGCAUGGAGAGGCACAGCAUGGAGCAUGCCCAGCUGAAUUUCCAGACAUGCUGGGGACUUCCCGCAGCUCCUCCUGGGCUCAGGGAGUGCAAGCAGGCUUUGGAAUCGCCUCGAUCCUCACCUGGGCCAGCACCCUCCACUCUCCAGGCUUUUCCUCCUCCCCAGGUCCUCAGGAGCCUGCCCUGAUCCAUCCCUUGGGACCUCUAUCCAAACCCAUGCCUUUGGACAUCUUUUACCUCAUUGAGGUUUGCGCUGCAGCUCUGCAGCUGGAGCCAGGACUCCCACCCUCAACCAUGCACAAGGAGCUCCCUUGGGAGGUUGCUCAGCAGUGUCCCUCAGCCGCACACCAGGCAAGGAGUUUCCCGAGGUGUCUCUGAACAGCACCUCAGGAGACAAUUCUGCAUCAGUCAAAGUUCCAGGUACACAGCAGAGC